Molecule: long non-coding RNA, 1794 nt
Organism: Cyanistes caeruleus (blue tit)
Lineage: Eukaryota; Metazoa; Chordata; Aves; Passeriformes; Paridae
Source: Ensembl
AAAAAUGAGAAAAAUACUAUUAUCCUUGUAGUAUUUUGACUUUUUUCUCUACAUUUAUUUAGCCAAAUAUCAGGCAAAAGGCAUAAAAUCAUCUGAUACUAAGCUUAGGUUCUCUGAAGGUGAAUUUUUCCCAGGUAAAAUCCCCCAGGAAGCAAGGCAGGUAAAAGUCUCUUUGACUUUGAAGGCUCUCACUUGUUCUUCACACAGGCUGCAUUUGGGGAAUGUUUUCAGCAAUGUCUGGUCCAAGAUGGCUUUGAGGUUAGAGGCACCCAAAUCCCACUGAAAGGCUUUAAAAAAAAGAAACAUGGGAAUAGUUUCUUCAUGGAUAAGCAAUAUCCUGGUUUGGACAGCUUUCCUUGGAUUCCAGCAGAAGAGGAAAGAUGCUAAAAAACCAUAGGAUCUGCAUGCUCACACCUUUCCUAGCACUGGUGUCAUUGAUGCUCCAGCCACCUGAGACCUUUGUGCACAUGUUUUCCACAGAGCUGUCCAGCAGAACAUUCAUUGGUGCCUUUCUGUGGGAUCCACCAAGAAAAAAAAAUAAAAAUCCCACAUUUCUGCAUCUCCAUCCGAAACAUGAGCAGCUAAGCCACGGGGAGAGCAGAGCAGCAGCCCUGCUGCAAAGGACAUUUUAUAUUCUGCAGGCUGCGCCCUACUUCAGCGAGCCAGGUGCGAGAAACCUGAUAUUAAGUAAGCUGGGGAACUUGUGUUUCUUUCCUAAUGGGAUUCCAGCUGUCAUUAAUCCUUUCCUGAGAUGUGUGUUUCCAGAAGAAGGCGUGGGCAAUCAGCAAGACUGAUGUGCUGCUUCUUGGAUGAACUAUGCUCAGUUGCCAUGGUGUGGAAGGCCCUGCUGGGUUAAUUCGCUCUGCAGAGCCAGAUCAAGGAGCCAUCCCCAGCCCAGAGGUUGUGUGGGGAAGGCAGCAUUCCCUCAUCCUUUGUCUGGGGGAUGGAGGCUCAGGAAGAGAAGGUGACUGGCCAAAAAUGCUGUGCUGAAGUAGGCUCUUCAGCGGCACUACAUGGAGAUGUCCCACUGUCUGAUUCAUUUCUGAUACGUGGGUUUUAGAAAAUUAAGAUCCUCAGAACAAAGAAGUGAGUAUUAUUGGGUAUUUUUCCCUCUACUGGGCAAAACCCACAGUGAAAUUCUUCCUGUGCUGCAGGCCAGAAGUGGUCAGGACAAGAAGAGCCAGUCAAUGUGUGAAGGGAGACAGGGCUGUGGCUCAUUGCUGACCUCAUGCUGUAUCCCAUUGUCCCAGGAGGACCCAAGCAGGAUUUGGCACCCGUGCAUGGCCUGGCACAAACCCACCAGGUCCCUCUGUGUCCCCUACACCUUUGUCCCUCCCCUGCCGUGUGGCUCAGCCUCACCUCUGUAUAGCAGUUCAGCUCUUCAGGCUGGAGUGAAGGAUUACCAGAGGUAAAAGCUGUGUCCUGCCUCUCCCAGCAGCCACUCAGGUGGUCUCUGCAGGUUGCAUCCAUGUAGGAUCCCAAAUCUCACAUUUGGCCGUGGUGGUGAGCCCUCUGCCGUAGGCAAGGUCAGAGGGGAGGCAGGGGGCUUUUGAUCUUCCCUCCUAUUUUCUUUCUGAGCCUCGAUUUACUGACAGAAUGCUUUGUGGUUGUUUUUGGCAGGAAAGGGGUUGUUUCACUGAAGACAAACCUGCCCACAGGGUUGCAAGCUCUCCAAGACCAGCCUAGCUGGAGAAGAGAGCUCCUACCUGAGUGGGAGGAGGGGAAUAACUGGGUUGGGAUCUCCCUGGAAGCCCAGGGCACUUGUCAGGUGGCAGCAAGAGCUGAAGAUGUUCC